AUUGGACGCUGGCGGCAUGCCUUACACAUGCAAGUCGAACGGCAGCACGGGCUUCGGUCUGGUGGCGAGUGGCGAACGGGUGAGUAAAGCAUCGGAACGUACCCGGAAGUGGGGGAUAACGUAGCGAAAGUUACGCUAAUACCGCAUAUUCUGUGCGCAGGAAAGAGGGGGAUCUUCGGACCUCUUGCUUUCGGAGCGGCCGAUGUCAGAUUAGCUAGUUGGUGGGGUAAAGGCCUACCAAGGCGACGAUCUGUAGCGGGUCUGAGAGGAUGAGCCGCCGCAAGGGGACUGAGACACGGGCCAGACUCCUACGGGAGGCAGAAGUGGGGAAUCUUGCGCAAUGGGCGAAAGCCUGACGCAGCAACGCGGCGUGCGGGAAGAAGGCCUUCGGGUUGUAAACCGCUGUCAGGAGGGACGAAGCCACUCAGGUGAAUAGCCGAGAGGGUGACGGUACCUCCACAGGAAGCCCCGGCUAACUACGUGCCAGCCGCCGCUGUAA
This 499-nucleotide ribosomal RNA is filed under the name uncultured bacterium. Its description in RNAcentral is "partial 16S ribosomal RNA". It matches the Rfam family "Bacterial small subunit ribosomal RNA", at positions 29 to 523 of the family's 1533-position model. The record is from RNAcentral.